AGAGUUUGAUCCUGGCUCAGGAUGAACGCUAGCGACAGGCCUAACACAUGCAAGUCGAGGGGUAACAGGGAAGCUUGCUUCCGCUGACGACCGGCGCACGGGUGCGUAACGCGUAUGAAACCUACCUUAUACCGGGGGAUAGCCCGAAGAAAUUCGGAUUAAUACCGCAUAACAUACUGAAGUGGCAUCACUUUAUUAUUAAAACUCCGGUGGUAUAAGAUGGUCAUGCGUGACAUUAGCUGGUUGGUGAGGUAACGGCUCACCAAGGCAACGAUGUCUAGGGGUUCUGAGAGGAAGGUCCCCCACACUGGUACUGAGACACGGACCAGACUCCUACGGGAGGCAGCAGUGAGGAAUAUUGGUCAAUGGACGCAAGUCUGAACCAGCCAUGUCGCGUGCAGGAAGACUGCCCUAUGGGUUGUAAACUGCUUUUAUAUGGGAAGAAUGUGACCUACGUGUAGGUUUUUGCCGGUACCAUAUGAAUAAGCAUCGGCUAACUCCGUGCCAGCAGCCGCGGUAAUACGGAGGAUGCAAGCGUUAUCCGGAUUCAUUGGGUUUAAAGGGUGCGUAGGCGGAAUAGUAAGUCAGAGGUGAAAGUUUGCGGCCCAACCGUAAAAUUGCCUUUGAUACUGUUAUUCUUGAGUACAUUUGAGGUAGGCGGAAUGUGGCGUGUAGCGGUGAAAUGCUUAGAUAUGCCACAGAACACCGAUUGCGAAGGCAGCUUACUAAACUGUAACUGACGCUGAUGCACGAAAGCGUGGGGAUCGAACAGGAUAUACCCUGGUAGUCCACGCCGUAAACGAUGAUAACUAGCUGUUUGCGAUACACAGUAAGCGGCAAAGCGAAAGCAUUAAGUUAUCCACCUGGGGAGUACGUUGGUAACAAUGAAACUCAAAGGAAUUGACGGGGGCCCGCACAAGCGGAGGAACAUGUGGUUUAAUUCGAUGAUACGCGAGGAACCUUACCUGGACUUAAAUGUAGGCUGCAUAGAUCAGAGAUGGUCUUUUCUUCGGACUGCUUACAAGGUGCUGCAUGGUUGUCGUCAGCUCGUGCCGUGAGGUGUCGGGUUAAGUCCCAUAACGAGCGCAACCCACGUUGUUAGUUACCAGCACAUAAUGGUGGGCACUCUAACAAGACUGCCGGUGUAAACCGCGAGGAAGGUGUGGAUGACGUCAAAUCAGCACGGCCCUUACGUCCAGGGCUACACACGUGUUACAAUGGCCGGUACAGAGGGCCGCUACCUGGUGACAGGAUGCGAAUCUCAAAAACCGGUCUCAGUUCGGAUCGAAGUCUGCAACCCGACUUCGUGAAGCUGGAUUCGCUAGUAAUCGCGCAUCAGCCAUGGCGCGGUGAAUACGUUCCCGGGCC
Molecule: ribosomal RNA, 1368 nt
Filed under: metagenome
Description: bacterial SSU rRNA
Rfam family: Bacterial small subunit ribosomal RNA
Source: RNAcentral